AACAUAACCUGUUAACUGUUGCUGAUCAAAUGGUGAAUAAGAUACUCUUUUGGGUUCAUGUAUUUGCAGAUCUGACUCUGAAAGAGUCAGUGCCUCACCAGCCAUGAAGCUUGUACUUUCAAA
Molecule: long non-coding RNA, 123 nt
Organism: Sphaeramia orbicularis (orbiculate cardinalfish)
Lineage: Eukaryota; Metazoa; Chordata; Actinopteri; Kurtiformes; Apogonidae
Exons: 3
Source: RefSeq, a predicted model, not a curated record